Non-coding RNA from Odocoileus virginianus texanus, 907 nucleotides. NCBI's taxonomy places the organism in Eukaryota, Metazoa, Chordata, Mammalia, Artiodactyla, Cervidae. The record is from RefSeq and is a predicted model, not a curated record.
CUACUGGCAACAGAACAAGGAUCAGUGGAGGAAUUCCAAAGAUAUACCUAAAAGAAACUGAAUUCAACAUGACCUUUAACUAUUCUCCUUGAGUGGAAGAUAUUUCACAUGUAUGCCUGCUCCUGAUUAAGAUUACAAACAAUGCUGCUUGGCACCCAAGGAACUAAAGACUGUCACAUAUAUCAUAAACUUCCUGAUAAUCUAUUACAUCAUUAUCUGCAAUACAAAAGUUCGAUCUCCAAGUUAAUCACUGGGGCGCCUUCACAGCACCCCCCGCCUCCCUUCUCCUGGUCACCUGCGUCCUCCCCGAGCGCUUCCCGUGCGCCUGGACCAGAGGAGCGCGCGGAUUCCCAAAGCACCGCAGGAGCAAUGACUUGGUCUUCUGAUUCCGGGCGAUUUGAGGCAAAAGACUUCCCAGAUGACCUCUAGCCGCCUUGGCAAAGUUAGGCGACUAGGAUCUAAAAGCAUCGGUUGCUAAUGAGUCCACAGAAGCCGCAAAUGUGUGGGGCAAGAGCUGGGCUAUUGCAAGCGGGAGGCAGGGAGGAGGCGUAGCAGCUCUUGCCGCAGAUGUGGUGGUGGACGAUGCCAAGCCCUCUUGUUUUUUUUAAAAAAAAAAAAAAGGGAAGUAAAGAAUGAUGAAUGAUUAAGAGGGCCAUGGGCCACUCCCUCGGCCUCUCUAACCUCUCUUGGUCUCUUUCCUCUCUGUCUUUUGUACAUGCACCUGCCCAGGUGGGAUCUCAAAGGACAAUAAAACGGUGGGUCAGUCUCCUCUGGUGAGAGCUAUCUUUGGACCUAGAAAUUAAAGCCCAAAUUAGGCGGAGAAAGUGGAGACUGAUAAUAGCUCCUAAUAAUGUCUCCCACCUGUGCUACCACUAAAUUGGUUAAUAAAUCAAAUUAUCCAUCUUGA